This 502-nucleotide ribosomal RNA is filed under the name uncultured bacterium. RNAcentral describes it as "partial 16S ribosomal RNA". It matches the Rfam family "Bacterial small subunit ribosomal RNA", at positions 30 to 523 of the family's 1533-position model. The record is from RNAcentral.
AUUGAACGCUGGCGGCGUGCUUAACACAUGCAAGUCGAGCGGUAACAGGUGUAGCAAUACAUGCUGACGAGCGGCGAACGGGUGAGUAAUGCUUCGGAAUCUGCCCAGUAGUGGGGAAUAACGUAGGGAAACUUACGCUAAUACCGCAUACGAACUACGGUUGAAAGCAGGGGAUCGCAAGACCUUGCGCUAUUGGAUGAGCCGAAGUCGGAUUAGCUAGUUGGUGGGGUAAAGGCUCACAAAGGCGACGAUCCGUAGCUGGUCUGAGAGGACGACCAGCCACACUGGAACUGAGACACGGUCCAGACUCCUACGGGAGGCAGCAGUGGGGAAUAUUGGACAAUGGGGGAAACCCUGAUCCAGCGACGCCGCGUGUGUGAAGAAGGCCUGCGGGUUGUAAAGCACUUUUAGUGGGGACAAAAAGCCAAAGGCUAAUACCUUUUGGUCUUGAUUUAACCCAAAGAAAAAGCACCGGCUAACUCUGUGCCAGCCGCCGCCGUAA